This 253-nucleotide ribosomal RNA is filed under the name uncultured bacterium. Its description in RNAcentral is "partial 16S ribosomal RNA". It matches the Rfam family "Bacterial small subunit ribosomal RNA", at positions 524 to 776 of the family's 1533-position model. The record is from RNAcentral.
UACGAAGGGGGCUAGCGUUGUUCGGAAUUACUGGGCGUAAAGGGCGCGUAGGCGGCUUCGAUAGUCGGGGGUGAAAUGCCUGGGCUCAACCCAGGAACUGCACUCGAAACUUCGAGGCUAGAGUGUGGGAGAGGAUAGUGGAAUUCCCAGUGUAGAGGUGAAAUUCGUAGAUAUUGGGAAGAACACCGGUGGCGAAGGCGGCUAUCUGGACCACAACUGACGCUGAGGCGCGAAAGCGUGGGGAGCAAACAGG